UCUCAGGGUCUCCAGGGUUAGCCUAUGACUAAGCCUAAGACCUGUGCAUUUUUACUCUUUAUUUUUGACUGUCACCUCUCCCUCAGUCACUUUGUUUUUAGAUUAACAGACCAAUGAAUACACAACCUUUACCUUGAGCAAAUACACACGGCUGUUUGAUCCUGUCAGACAUUCACACACAAACUCACAACGACUCUCUUGCUGUCCUGCUUGACUGCCUGGUAAAUCUAGUUCACGAGUAAUGAUAGGAAAUCAAAUCUUUUAAACAUCUGAGUGAGUGAAGAAGUGAUUUGAUUUCUACCACAAAAGCCCAUCCUGUCCUGAAAGUUUGCUCUGCCCGAAGUCGGUAAUAUGAAGAAGCCAGCAGCACACAGAAAAGCAGAGAAGCAUACAUUAUGGGAAACCAACUGACUGGUAUUGAAACAGCGCUGGCACAUCCUUUGCGUUGACAUGAAUCACUCCAAAAACACUUUGAUGUGGGGUUGGUUCUCCUCUUCGGUGCUUGACGUGUGGUGGUGGUCCGGCCAGAGAAAUCCUUCCACGCAGAUCAGAACACAAGGUGUGCGUCGUGACUCCUGCCGGAACCACAGAGCCAGCUGUGGAUAUACAUUCAGAUUCCCUUCAUUAAGUCAAAACCUCAACUCCACCCUCCAGCUGCUAAUUACAAACUCAGUAUAGGACGGGCAGAUUUUAGUUUGGCGUUUUCUUCCUUCUACCCAAUCGAUUCCCGCCAUUGAAUACUGUGAUUGAUUGGUGUUUGACCACUGGCCUGACGUUUUGAUUUGAGUGCUCUUACUUUGCCAGAUAGACCCAUGAUGCAGGGAUACAGUACUUCAUUAGAGUUAUGGGUAGGAGUUCCAUAUGGCAGGUCCCCAACAUUGUGGAAUCUUUCCAGUAACUGAGCAGUUAAUGAUUAUGGGGACACCCCCCUGAGGAGCUCUCGCUGCUGGGGGGGGAGGGGAAUUAGGUGAAGGCAAUAGCUCAUUAAGACAACACCCUAUUGUCCUAGUAUUAUUGUGACAGUAAUGAGCUGAGAAUUUUCUCCUGCUGUAAUGACAAGCAUGUGACAGCACAAUCACAUUAAAGACGGCCAUCGCAUGCUUUGUGUGAGGGCAUGGAUUACUAUCAACGUGGGGUCAAGUUUCAAGACAACACUCCCCACAAAGAUGAAAAACACACAAUGUGAGCAUGUCCCUGUAAUGUAAAUGACUUUUUUUUUACAAACCAAAUGGCCUCUUUUUUUACAUCUAAAUAUACCCAAACUAUGUGGUUAGGGUCACGUUUUCAUUCUGUGUGAAACAGUAAAUAAAUAAAAACAAAGUGGUGUCUGACAAGGAGAUGCCCCAGAAACACAGGUCUGCAAGCUCUUGUCACCAAGUAUAGAUUCCCCAGUUAAAGUCAUAUGGGAAUAGACCAUUCUUUCUUUAUUUUGUUUGUGAAUUUAUUGUUGUGUUUUUGCUAUGGUUUCAUUUAAUUUCUGCUGAAGUUUCCCGUGUCUUUAAUAUGGCUUAGCCAUGCUUCUCUAUACUAGACCGCAGGGAUACCAUGAUGUCCCAUCAUAGAUGUUAGCAAGGAAUGGUUACUGUAGUGUAUCCGGGCUUUCCAUAUACAUAUAGUUCAGUACAGUAAAGCACCUUGGGGGACCAGUGCAAAAUAAAUAUAAAACCCCAGUAAAGGUACAAGGAUACUAUGAUCAGCUUUAGAAAAAAGUGUGCAUCUCUGACUCUAAAGACUUGGACAGUCCAAUGCUCUUAUUAAACUGAAUCAAGUGGGCUGAAUAUGAGAAGACUGCUGGAAUUCUCAAAGGAAGUCUGGUAACACUUUACACGUGAGGGUUUGGCGAUGAUUAUAUGUUACUCUAUAUACAUACGGACUGGUUUCUGAGUUUUCGGCUUGAUGCAAUUUAAGCUUUGCAUGCUUACUGUGCAGUACGGGCAUUGUGUAAGACUCUUUCUAUUCCUAGAACAAUAAAAUAAAGAGCAAUCGCAGAUGUUGCUAUGAUUUGUCACAAGGUUUCCAAAUUCUGUUUUAAUAGUCUACACCCUUCACUUGUACUUUUUCAAGUCUAAAGUCUUUCUUUUAUGACAUAGACAUCUUUAUCAAAUUGUCAUGCCUUGUCUCUUAGUAUUUCCAUUUCUAACUCGUAUGUAUGACCUGUCUUGUUCUAAUCUAUUUCCAGUUGCA
Lepisosteus oculatus (spotted gar) is the source of this 2184-nucleotide long non-coding RNA. NCBI's taxonomy places the organism in Eukaryota, Metazoa, Chordata, Actinopteri, Semionotiformes, Lepisosteidae. The record is from Ensembl.